UCUUUUUCCCCCGGAGCUUGCUCCACCGGAAAAAGAAGAGUGGCGAACGGGUGAGUAACACGUGGGUAACCUGCCCAUCAGAAGGGGAUAACACUUGGAAACAGGUGCUAAUACCGUAUAACAAUCGAAACCGCAUGGUUUUGAUUUGAAAGGCGCUUUCGGGUGUCGCUGAUGGAUGGACCCGCGGUGCAUUAGCUAGUUGGUGAGGUAACGGCUCACCAAGGCCACGAUGCAUAGCCGACCUGAGAGGGUGAUCGGCCACAUUGGGACUGAGACACGGCCCAAACUCCUACGGGAGGCAGCAGUAGGGAAUCUUCGGCAAUGGACGAAAGUCUGACCGAGCAACGCCGCGUGAGUGAAGAAGGUUUUCGGAUCGUAAAACUCUGUUGUUAGAGAAGAACAAGGAUGAGAGUAACUGUUCAUCCCUUGACGGUAUCUAACCAGAAAGCCACGGCUAACUACGUGCCAGCAGCCGCGGUAAUACGUAGGUGGCAAGCGUUGUCCGGAUUUAUUGGGCGUAAAGCGAGCGCAGGCGGUUUCUUAAGUCUGAUGUGAAAGCCCCCGGCUCAACCGGGGAGGGUCAUUGGAAACUGGGAGACUUGAGUGCAGAAGAGGAGAGUGGAAUUCCAUGUGUAGCGGUGAAAUGCGUAGAUAUAUGGAGGAACACCAGUGGCGAAGGCGGCUCUCUGGUCUGUAACUGACGCUGAGGCUCGAAAGCGUGGGGAGCAAACAGGGAUUAGAUACCCUGGUAGUCCACGCCGUAAACGAUGAGUGCUAAGUGUUGGAGGGUUUCCGCCCUUCAGUGCUGCAGCUAACGCAUUAAGCACUCCGCCUGGGG
Molecule: ribosomal RNA, 838 nt
Filed under: Enterococcus durans
Lineage: Bacteria; Bacillati; Bacillota; Bacilli; Lactobacillales; Enterococcaceae
Description: bacterial SSU rRNA
Rfam family: Bacterial small subunit ribosomal RNA
Source: RNAcentral